This 617-nucleotide small RNA is filed under the name Pan troglodytes (chimpanzee). Its description in RNAcentral is "retained intron". The record is from RNAcentral. Lineage: Eukaryota; Metazoa; Chordata; Mammalia; Primates; Hominidae.
ACGGAAGGCGGCGACGUGGCCGAAGGAGGCCCGUUUGUGUCUAAACGGAGGCUCGGCCACAACGCCACUGGAUUGGUGGUAGGGCGGGGCGGGCCACAGUCUCCAGCCUGAAGCGGAAGUGGAGAAAAGAUGGAGGACCAUCAGCACGUGCCCAUCGACAUCCAGACCAGCAAGCUGCUCGAUUGGCUGGUGGACAGAAGGCACUGCAGCCUGAAAUGGCAGAGUCUGGUGCUGACGAUCCGCGAGAAGAUCAAUGCUGCCAUCCAGGACAUGCCAGAGAGCGAAGAGAUCGCCCAGCUGCUGUCUGGGUCCUGUGAGUGCUUAGGGGCUGUCACUGGAGUCCCCUCUUUGCUGAGGUAACAUUCACUACUUUCACUGCCUAAGAAUCCUGGACCUUCUCAAAGGCACAGAGGCCUCCACGAAGAAUAUUUUUGGCCGAUACUCUUCACAGCGGAUGAAGGAUUGGCAGGAGAUUAUAGCCCUGUAUGAGAAGGACAACACCUACUUAGGUAAAGUGGCCCGGCCUGGGAGCCCUGGUAUCCAUGGGGAAGCCCACUCUCAGAGUUCUGAGAUACCAGGCUUAUAGGAGGCACAGUCUGUGAGUGGGAAGAGACUGG